This 497-nucleotide ribosomal RNA is filed under the name uncultured bacterium. RNAcentral's name for it is "partial 16S ribosomal RNA". It matches the Rfam family "Bacterial small subunit ribosomal RNA", at positions 28 to 507 of the family's 1533-position model. The record is from RNAcentral.
GAUGAACGCUGGCGGCGUGCCUAAUACAUGCAAGUCGAGCGAACAGACGAGGAGCUUGCUCCUCUGACGUUAGCGGCGGACGGGUGAGUAACACGUGGAUAACCUACCUAUAAGACUGGGAUAACUUCGGGAAACCGGAGCUAAUACCGGAUAAUAUAUUGAACCGCAUGGUUCAAUAGUGAAAGACGGUUUUGCUGUCACUUAUAGAUGGAUCCGCGCCGCAUUAGCUAGUUGGUAAGGUAACGGCUUACCAAGGCAACGAUGCGUAGCCGACCUGAGAGGGUGAUCGGCCACACUGGAACUGAGACACGGUCCAGACUCCUACGGGAGGCAGCAGUAGGGAAUCUUCCGCAAAGGGCGAAAGCCUGACGGAGCAACGCCGCGUGAGUGAUGAAGGUCUUCGGAUCGUAAAACUCUGUUAUUAGGGAAGAACAAAUGUGUAAGUAACUAUGCACGUCUUGACGGUACCUAUUCAGAAAGCCACGGCUAACUACGUG